UGGGUUUUCGAGCUUCACUCCCAACCCCUGUGACAUACCUAUACGUUGCCUCGGCGGAUCAGCCCGCGCCCCGUAAAACGGGACGGCCCGCCCGAGGACCCCUAAACUCUGUUUUUAGUGGAACUUCUGAGUAAAACAAACAAAUAAAUCAAAACUUUCAACAACGGAUCUCUUGGUUCUGGCAUCGAUGAAGAACGCAGCAAAAUGCGAUAAGUAAUGUGAAUUGCAGAAUUCAGUGAAUCAUCGAAUCUUUGAACGCACAUUGCGCCCGCCAGUAUUCUGGCGGGCAUGCCUGUUCGAGCGUCAUUUCAACCCUCAAGCUCAGCUUGGUGUUGGGACUCGCGGUAACCCGCGUUCCCCAAAUCGAUUGGCGGUCACGUCGAGCUUCCAUAGCGUAGUAAUCAUACACCUCGUUACUGGUAAUCGUCGCGGCCACGCCGUUAAACCCCAACUUCUGAAUGUUGACCUCGGAUCAGGUAGGAAUACCCGCUGAACUUAAGCAUAUCAAUAAUCGGAGGA
This 519-nucleotide ribosomal RNA is filed under the name Fusarium sp. TA26-30. RNAcentral's name for it is "eukaryotic LSU rRNA". The stretch from base 153 to 306 matches the Rfam family "5.8S ribosomal RNA". Lineage: Eukaryota; Fungi; Ascomycota; Sordariomycetes; Hypocreales; Nectriaceae. The record is from RNAcentral.